This 899-nucleotide ribosomal RNA is filed under the name uncultured archaeon. RNAcentral's name for it is "bacterial SSU rRNA". It matches the Rfam family "Archaeal small subunit ribosomal RNA", at positions 1 to 878 of the family's 1478-position model. The record is from RNAcentral.
CUCUGAUGGAUCUCGCCGGACCCGACUGCUAUCGGAUUGAGAUUUAGCCAUGCGAGUCGAACGUUCCCCUGUUGCGGGAAGCGUGACUUACGGCUCAGUUACAUGUAGUCAGCCUCACUUGGAGGCAGGGACCACCCCCAGAAGCUGAGAUUAAUCUCGGAUAGGUCAUGUCAUCCGGAGGGAGAGCUGGCUUUAAGGAGUGCGCGGGCUUCCUCCGCGAUUUCGCUCCAGGAUGGGACUGCGUCCGAUCAGGCUGUUGGCGAGGUAAUGGCCCACCAAACCUGUAACCGGUACGGGCUUUGAGAGAGGUGGCCCGGAGAUGGACACUGAGAGAAGGGUCCAGGUCCUACGGGGCGCAGCAGGCGCGAAACCUUUGCAAUGCGCGAAAGCGUGACGAGGUUAAUCCGAGUGACUUCCGCUGAGGGAGUCUUUUGUCAGCUGUAAAUAGGCAGCCGAAUAAGGGGAGGGCAAGUCUGGUGUCAGCCGCCGCGGUAAUACCAGCUCCUCGAGUGGUCGGGGCGAUUAUUGGGCCUAAAGCAUCCGUAGCCGGUUCCGUAGGUCCUCUGUUAAAUCCAACCGCUCAACGGUUGACCUGCAGAGGAUACCGCGGGACUAGGAGGCGGGAGAGGCAGACGGUACUCCGCGUGUAGGGGUAAAAUCCUGUGAUCCGCGGAAGACCCCCAGUGGCGAAGGCGGUCCGCCAGAACGCGCUCGACGGUGAGGGAUGAAAGCUGGGGGAGCGAACCGGAUUAGAUACCCGGGUAGUCCCAGCCGUAAACGAUGCUAGCUAGAUGAUUCAUUGGCAAGUCGCGAAUGCAGUGUCGCAGGGAAGCCGUUAAGCUAGCCGCCUGGGGAGUACGGUCGCAAGACUGAAACUUAAAGGAAUUGGCGGGGGAGCA